Molecule: RNA transcript, 2593 nt
Organism: Olea europaea var. sylvestris
Lineage: Eukaryota; Viridiplantae; Streptophyta; Magnoliopsida; Lamiales; Oleaceae
Exons: 5
Source: RefSeq, a predicted model, not a curated record
GCAAGCACCAUCCAUAGCAAAUCAAGGCAAGUAUUUACUUGAGAAAUAUAAUUGAUUUUUGUCUUACUUGAACCUUCGUGCACAGAGGAUACUAGCAACGGGAGCUAAGAAACCCGUGCACGGAGGUUAUAAGGCAGGGAGGUGUGAAACCUCCAUGCACGAAGGCCUUUUUUCAAGGUCUCCGUGCGGAGAUCCUUCGGUUUUCGUGCGUGACAACCCAAGCCUUGGAUUUCUAUGCACAAAGAUUUAAAUUUUCUACUGUUCAUGUAUUUUUUAAUCUAUAUAAAUAUUAGUUUUCCGCUUGUUUAGAAUUGUUAAAUUUCUUUACAAAUAUUUUGUUUUCAAAUUAUUUAUGCAGAUGUCUUUGGAAUAUAUAUUCUCUCCAAAUCAAUGGUUUUCUGCUAUUAUUAGUCAAUAUCCAAAUCGGGAAUACCUUAAAGACUUUAUAGAAUUUAUAGAUGCAAAUCAACAAUGUUUUAUGAUUUGCAGUAAUUUUUAUGAAUUUUUUUCUGGAAUUAUUUAUAGAGGAGAGGAAGAGCUAUUUAGUAGUAGAUUGGAAUAUGAAUUUGUAAUGCGGCUUGUAGACUGGCAAAAAUAACGAAGUAUGGGUAAAAUUAGAUGAUCGUAUUAUUAGAUUUGGUAUGCAAGAAUUUUGUCUUAUCACUAGACUACCUUGUCAUGAAUCAGUCAUGGUGAUUGAUCAUAGAAAUCAUUAGUUCAAUGGUAGUCAAAGAAUUACCAUGAGAAUGCUAUUUGAAGUUUUCCAUGAAUGUGAAGAUGAAGUAGAUAAAUAUAAGUUGGGAUUAGUUAUGUUGGUGGAGUGUGUUAUAAAAUCAGUUGGAAGAAUUAUUGAUUACAAAACUCUUGGUAUGGUCGAGCACCUUGAUGAAUUUCUUGGAUAUCCUCAGGGUCGAAAAUGAUAUUUUGUUUUGUUAAAUUCACUACAAGAACCACAAUUGCAAAGAGCACAAAAAGUAUGACGCAACGAACAAAUAGAUUGUAAGUAUGCACUACGAGAGUAUCCACUUGCAUUUCAGAAAUUGGACAAAAAUUUGGACCGGCGUCGAUACGAAAUAGCACAGAGUCCACGAAUGUAUAAGUGGAGGCCUAAUAAACUGCUGACUGAAAAAACGAUUAAGUAUUUUCUGACUACUCGAGAGAUUCAGGUUAUUUCAACGUUACAUCAUACGGAGGAAGAAUUGAAGACAUCUUGGUAUAUAAAUCUUUCACUGUCAGCUGACAAUGAACAUAGUGUAUUAGAUGACAUCGUCCGUGGAGAAUUAGAUAAUAUGGCACGACAAAUCCCAGAUAAUACUUUUGAGGAAGAAAGGGAUAAUAUAUAUGUGCCAGAGAUGACCAUUCCUAGUACGUCAAGAACUUCACCAAUAGCGGGGCCUAAUUAUGGAUCUAGCGCCUCUAAUUAUGUAACCGAAGACCGGACGAUAGAACUACUGGAUGUCCAGAAGCAAGACAUAAUAAAAGAGGUGUUUGAUAUAUGCGGCAACUUGAGAACAGAAGUUUAUGAUAAUCAAAGACGGUUGUUCGAACAACACCAAAAUUGGCAGGAGGAUUACACGCAAUUUAGUAUACGUUCCUACAUGGAUAACUCAUUAUCGAGUUUUUUAAACACACAUUUGGAGAAAGAGGAACAAUUAUUCCAUCAACAAAAAAAAAAUGGCAAGAAGAUCAUUAUCAGACCAUGCACUCUUAUGUAGAUACCAGUUUAGAUUCUAUGUGAUAUUAUGUUGAUGAACAAAAUAAGAAUAUAUUGUAGAAAUUAUUUGAAUGGAAAUCAAACAUGGAAGCCAUUAUUAGUUGUAUGCAAGAAGACAUUCCUAUUGGUACAGGUCUAAUUCCCGAUGAUCGACCGAAAGAUGCAUCAACGUCUCAACAAGUCAAAAGUUUUGAAACAUCAGAAAGAGAGAAGAAAAAGAAGCAAAAACAAAUACAAUCUUCGUCGUCUAGAAGACGUCCUUUGAAAGACUAUUUUAUGCAAAAAUACUCUACUCUUAGAGACUGGAUAGUGAAGAACGAAUCAGGGUUACAAAGAUAAUUUUUUAUUAUUGGUUUAAAUACUACAAUUUUAUUUCGAUUUAUUUAGCACUAAUUUUAAUUUUGCUAUGCAGUAUAUAUUUGGAAGAUGCCAUUGGAAACAUCUACGGAAGAGCUUGGUUGAAAAUUUUAUUGGAUAGAACAAAAGAUAUAAAUACUGUGAUAUACGAUUGCAGCCAUAAUGAGCAUACACCAGAUCAAGUGAAGGCACAUGCGAAUGCAACAGUUACUGUGAUUAAUUCUUUACUAUUCGACAAAGGUUUUGCAGCGAGACGAGAUAUAAGCAAACACAAAAAUAAAGAAAUGAAGGUAGAGAUUAUACCAUAUCUACCCUGUGCAAACAACGGGCUAAACUGUGGAGUUUUCGUGCUUAAAUAUAUAGAAUGUUUUGUUCUAGGAUAUUUGAUAUAAUGAGUUUCACCAGACAGGAUGAUUAUAUAUAGACAAAAAAAUUACAGUUGAUAUUUUAAAUAAUGAAUAUUUCCUUCAUCCACGUCUGUCUUCGUUAUUGUAAUGGAGUGAUGUAAUUUGUCAUAUUGUA